Molecule: transfer RNA, 76 nt
Filed under: Burkholderiales bacterium
Lineage: Bacteria; Pseudomonadati; Pseudomonadota; Betaproteobacteria; Burkholderiales
Description: tRNA-Lys
Rfam family: tRNA
About the family: Transfer RNA (tRNA) molecules are approximately 80 nucleotides in length. Their secondary structure includes four short double-helical elements and three loops (D, anti-codon, and T loops).
Source: RNAcentral
GGGUCGUUAGCUCAGUCGGUAGAGCAGCGGACUUUUAAUCCGUUGGUCGCAGGUUCGACUCCUGCACGACCUACCA